UACGUAGGCAGCGAGCGUUGUUCGGAAUUACUGGGCGUAAAGCGCGCGUAGGCGGCUUUGUAAGUUAGAGGUGAAAGCCCGGGGCUCAACCCCGGAAUUGCCUUUAAGACUGCAUCGCUUGAAUCCGGGAGAGGUGAGUGGAAUUCCGAGUGUAGAGGUGAAAUUCGUAGAUAUUCGGAAGAACACCAGUGGCGAAGGCGGCUCACUGGACCGGCAUUGACGCUGAGGUGCGAAAGCGUGGGGAGCAAACAGG
RNAcentral lists this ribosomal RNA (253 nucleotides) under uncultured bacterium. RNAcentral's name for it is "partial 16S ribosomal RNA". It matches the Rfam family "Bacterial small subunit ribosomal RNA", at positions 524 to 776 of the family's 1533-position model. The record is from RNAcentral.